CGGAACUUGCCUGCCCACUGGCUGACAAGGGCCGGGAGCACAUGGGCUGUUUGUUCCUCCUCCCAACACCUUGGCUGGUACCGGUCCCUGGUUGCUAUGAGAGUAUACUUUGUCAGUAGGCACUCUGCCUUUCUCCUGAAAUGGGGCUGUUGGAAAGGGUCAGAGAAAAGAGAUGAAUUGUCACCAGUCAUCCUUCAGAUUUUACCAAAUAUAAAUGUGAUGAUGAAUUUUGUUUUAUCUAGGUAUUAAAUCAUCAUUCAGAUUCUUCACACGUGUUAAAGGGAGAAUUCUAAUCACUGUAUGUGUGCUUCGCACACAGGACCGGAGCACGGAAGAAACUGGGGGCACAAAGUAGAAAUCUACUGAACCCCUUUCACCAUUCAAAAAAAUAUGACUAAGGGUAAUACUUUUCUUACAAGGUGAAAACUCUGGGACAAGUUCUAAAUCAGAGGCAAAGCAGACACAAAUGGAGAAAUGAAUUUAUCAUCAUUCCAGAUGUAGCAGACGCAAAGUAAUAUCUCCUAGGAUGGCUGUGCAACUUAUUAUCUUAAUUUGGACCUGGGACUUGGAAGUAGAAUUGUGCUCAAGGCACCAUACUUAAAGGAUAAAAGCAAACCUUUCAUAGCAGCCCAGUCUGACACUUGGCAUGGGACCCUUCACAGUCACCUCCACCUGGAAAUGUGCUGGUUCUUGCGGCUCGUUUCGGUGACUCCAGGCCUCCUCGGGUUGACUGAUAGAGCUCAUUGCAUCAUGCUUCCACGGUGGCUUUUUUUCCUGCCUCAGAAUCUCCUGAAGGAAGUUCAACGCAAUUGCCUUCCUGGGAAAACGACACCGAACCAAGUGACUGUUCGACGGUCCCGGAAAGAAAUAUUUGUUUCAUUUUUCCAGUUUUCAUUUUACCCUGAAAACCUAGGCUUGAUGGUGUGAGCGAUAGCUCAUCCUUCCUUCUUUCUCCCUGGCUGGGUUGCAGGGAGUCAUUAGGUGCUCAUUAGACUAACACGAAGGCAGAAUCGCACCAGUUGUGGGACCCAUGAUUCACUUUUAAAUUCUAUCAGGUCUCUUUAGUUUGCUGCCUAAAUGGCAGUUUUUCUUGUAACAGGUAGCCCGAGACUUUGAGACAUUACACGUCAACAUUUAUGACUUAAAAAAGGCAAGGCUCUUUUCUUUCACCAGAUCGUUCCUGUUGGGAGCAGAUGGCCAACCUCUCAUCUGUAUUUCCUAUCAGCUGCUUUGGGAUAUGCUUUGUGCCAGUGGUCUUACUGAAUCCUUUGAACAGUAUCGUCAAGUAGACAUUUACUUCUGAUGUGGUUUUGGAGUGAUGGGGGUCUGGAGCUGAUGGCCAAGAAAGAAUUCUUGAGACGUCUUUGGUGCAAGAAGGUGCUUUUAUUAAAGCAUGGGUGAUGAGGGAAUGUGGGGCAAGCUGAGGGCAAAAUACAGGCUGGCAACCCCCCUCCCCUGUCCCCCGAUGGAAUAUGUGUGAUAUCCCUUGGACACUCCUGGCUACCCAAAAACAAAGGAAAGGGGUUUAAGUGCUUGCCAUGGUAAUGUGGGAAACCAAGGCAAAAGAAAAAUUCUCUUACUGCCUACAGCCCAUUGAUAAGUCCUUGAAACUGGCAGAGUAGCCUCCCUCUAGGAGCUCAGCUGCCUCAAUGAUGACACUUUGCUAGGGGCAAACAUUAUCCCAACCUUGAGGAUCCUGUAAAUCUACUUCCUUUGUCUCAACUGCCCCAGGAUAUAUGCUGGCAAUCAUACACCCAGCUUAAGGCCCCCUGAUAUACAUCUGAAGGGUCUCAUGAUUGGGGUUUUAUUAAAAAGUAUUAAGUGGCAUUUCCCUAGCAAUACCUAGCCUCUCAAGGCCCUGGAAACCUGGCUUCCAAAAUACCUUAGAGAUUUACUCUAUCCCUGACCCCCUCCCAACCUGAGGGUA
This 1927-nucleotide long non-coding RNA is filed under the name Felis catus (domestic cat). RNAcentral's name for it is "lncRNA (ENSFCAG00000048895.1)". The record is from RNAcentral. Lineage: Eukaryota; Metazoa; Chordata; Mammalia; Carnivora; Felidae.